This 1239-nucleotide long non-coding RNA is filed under the name Anser brachyrhynchus (Pink-footed goose). RNAcentral's name for it is "lncRNA (ENSABRG00000002511.1)". The record is from RNAcentral. Lineage: Eukaryota; Metazoa; Chordata; Aves; Anseriformes; Anatidae.
AUGGAAGCUCCCUGUGCAAGCAUGUAUCUGAAAAGAGCAGCAGGAGGCAGGUGCCUAAUGCGGUCUUGUACAGGGAAAUCCCCGUGUCACGGAGCAGUGAGGGAAGCAGCUGGGAGAGCAAGAGGAGUGAGGAACAGCCUUGCAGGCGCCAAGGUCAGUGAAGAAGGAGGGGGAGAGGUACUCCAGGUGCUGGAGCAGAAGUCCCCGGCGGCCUGUGGCAAGGACCAUGGUGAAGCAGGCUGUCCCCCUGCAGCCCAUGGUGGGGUACGGUUCCUUAUUUGGGGGUUCUAUUUUAAUCUCUAGAUAUAUCAAGGCAUUUGCGUAGCUGUCCAGAGGAUUCACAAAGAGCCUCAGCAUGCAUGGCAAGGGCCUUGACUGCAUAAGGGCAGUAUGAGGAAGAGGCUGAGCAGGGUCACCUUUUUCAUCUGGAGAGGAUAAGUCUGUGAUUGCCCCUGCUGGGGCUGCUGUGCAUUCAUGGCCUUUUGGCCUUUGUGGACCUGAGGGUGUUUCUUUUCUGGCUCUAGUCUCUGUGCUUGAGACCUCUGCAAGGAGCUGUACUGUUUGCGUGUCCAUCACGGGCCUGACCUUCUCUCUCUUUCUUGUAGGCCUUGUCAUGGGCAUGGACUAAGCUGGAAACUUGAAAGAGGCACGAGGGUGAGUAGAUGGCAGUGUGGGCCCUGAGUUGGUGGGUGGAUUGUUAGUCUGUUUGGCCUGUUGGGCAGGCUUUGCAAGCACUUGUGACAGCAUUGUGCAUCUCCUGCCAUGUUCCUGAGGGGUGUCAGUGGGUCCAGUUCCUGAAAUGCUGACCCAUCAGCAUAGCCUUUUGGUUUUCAGAUAGCCUGCUCAAGUGUGUGAUUUUUCCUGUGAGUGAUGUUAUUUCAUGGAAUUGGCUUUUCUUUUUUGGCGUGUAAUCUGUGGUGCUCCUAGAUUUUUCUUCCUAUGUAAAGGAAAGUUUUAAUGCCAGCUGAAGAUGAUCAGUUACUUGCUUGGUCAUAUUGUCCUCUCAAUUUUCAAAGCUGAAGCAGAAGCCUGGGGAUUGUUGCUUCUAGAAACACCCCAGUUCUCUUGUCUGCACUCUGUAUGGUGUUGAGGUGAAAACGAGAUAAAAGAACCACAGCUGCUGCUUGUCCUGCUCUCUACUUUGUUGUUUCUUGCCCCUCCCCUUCCCCAGUGUCCUGGUUCCAGUUAGGACAGAGUUAAUUUUCCCUCAUAGUAGCUGGUAGGGUGCUAUGUUUUGGA